RNAcentral lists this long non-coding RNA (13950 nucleotides) under Nicotiana benthamiana. RNAcentral describes it as "long non-coding RNA (NBEN_LNC008582)". The stretch from base 1 to 1309 matches the Rfam family "Bacterial large subunit ribosomal RNA". Lineage: Eukaryota; Viridiplantae; Streptophyta; Magnoliopsida; Solanales; Solanaceae. The record is from RNAcentral.
AGCGAGCCGCGCUAGCCUAGCAACGUUUUUUAGCAGCAAGCUCCGGUCUAACGACCCCCUAACCUAGGUUGGGGCGAAAACUCCAAAAUCCAAAACGUUGGAUAGGGUUCCAUACCUUUCUCUAAUAAUAAGGUAAGCUUUCAAGCUGGCGCCCUUUAAAGGAGCGGGCGCAGUGAACUCUAAUUGUGAAAAGAUUGGAAGAUCUGGCCAAAGAAGGUGAUAGCCCUGUAGAUUCGUUCCCAUGGUUCAAUCCUUCCCAGUAAAACGCGGCGUGUUCGAAUUCUCAUCACUUUUAUGCGAGAAAGGGUGACCACCCUCUAAGCAUAAGUAUUCCUCAAUGACCGAUAGCAUACAAGUAUCAUGAGGGAAAGGUUAAAAGAACUCUAUUUAUGAAGUGCUAUCGAGAACCUUAGAUCCGAUGCGAACAAUCAGUCGAAGGAGCGGAUCUUAGAGCCUUUACUUUAAGUAAAGCGCACUCACUCUAAUGGCGUACCUUUUGCAUGAUGGGUCAGCAAGGAAACGGGAACAGCGGCUUAAGCCAUUAGGUGUAGGCACUUUCCAGAGGUGGAAUCUUCUAGUUCUUCCUAUUUGACCCGAAACCGAUUGAUCUAGCCAUGAGCUGGUUGAAGAGAGCUAUAACAUGCCUUGGAGGACCGAACCCGCGUAUGUGGUAAAAUACGGGGAUGACUUAUGACUAGGGGUGAAUGGCCACCAAGAACAGAUAUAGCUGGUUUUCCGCGAAAUCUAUUUCAGUAGAGCGUAUGAUAUCGAUGGCCCGAGGUAGAGCACUUAAUGGGAUAGGGUGGCCUCAUUUCGCCUUUCCAACCCCAGGCAAACUUCGAAUACAGGUGUAGAUUGUUUGUACAGACAUACUUUUUGGGUGCUAAGAUCCAAAGUCGAGAGGGAAACAACCGAGAUCGUACACUAAGGUCCCUAUGCAAUCACUUGUAAAAGGAAGUGAUCGAGCGAUGACAACCAGGAGGUUGGCGUGGAAGCAGCCAUCAUUUGAAGAAAGCGUAAUAGCCCACUGGUAUAGCUCCAUGGAUUCGAAAAUUUAUCAUGGCUCAAGUGAUUGACCGAAGCGACUAGACCUUGAAAGCUGCUUUUUCAAGUGUCAAUAGCGGAACGUUCUGUCAAACGGGGAAGGUUUUUGGUGAUAAGACCUGGAGACAUCAGAAGUGAGAAUGCUGACAUGAGUAACGAAAAAUCCUGUGAAAAACACAAUCGCCUGCCAGUGGAAGGUUUUCUGCGUUCGGUUGCCUAUAAUACUAGGACCAAUAGGUUUAAAAUGGGUUUGCGCCGUAGGUGUUGAAUGAUCUACUCUACACAAGUGUGGGCUUACAGGGCUAGGGCUCAUAAACCCUUACAUUCAUUUAUCAAUAGGGCCCUGCCCUGAUCGGUCACUUUUCUGGGCCGGGAUCGAUAAGUGGAAGUCAUAAAAAAGAAAUCUUUCUCUUCGCACCUCAGAUCAAGAGGAAGGGUUGCUUGUCAAGCUGGCCUAUAUAUAAUAAUAAGAAAUUUCUUUCUAUUUUAAAGAAAUCAUUCUCUUUACACCUCAGAUCAAGAGGAAGGGUUGCUUGUCAAGCUGGCCUAUAUAUAAUAAUAAGUUUCUUUCUAUUUUAUAUUAUUAUUUAAUUAUACGCAAAAUGGAAAGAUUCGCUUUCUUUUAACCGGCUCCUUCUUCUUUGUCAAUGCUACUAAGGACCUACAGGUUUGCCUGCUUUUCUUAUUAAAGAUAAUGAGAAUGGGUUAUUCAAAUAAAAAGGAAAAGGCCAUACUUAGUUGACUGACAAUGCAAAGGCGUGCGAAACUAAGUAGGGCCUGAGGCCCCCUGCAAAUCCGUAAACUCUAGGAGCAUGCCGGAACAAAAGGAUGGUCCCCUAUGCAUUUCAUUUUAUUCCUUAAGGGAAAAAAAGUAUCCCCAUCAUAGUGAACCUCUCCUUGUGAUUGAAAUGAUGUAGAUGCCUCCCUGAUGGGGGGCGGAUCGAAUCGGAGUUUCCUUAGGUAGCCACCGACGUACAGUUAUCCUUGAAAUUCCGUGCUUGGUGGAGAAGAAGCGAUCAAAAGUACGCUCGCUUGCUGUUUUGUUCUCUGUCGCAAAGUGGGAUCGCUCGCUAGCUAGGUUAGAUUGGAGCAAGAUUUUAUGAGAACAUAUUCCGCAUACCCGGGGAGAAGGGUCGAAACCACCUCUCGAUCUACUUAGUGCAGCCCAGGAAGAAAAAUGUCGUCUAGGCGUUCCCUCUUGCUCCGAUCUCCCCUACGCCUACGACGUUGUCUGGGCCAAGAGCCAUAGUUAGUUUUUGAUACUAGCAAGACCCAGCCAGAUGAUGUCUGCUGGUUGGUAGUGAGAGGACUCUUACUACCUGCAUACCCAAAAGAUGGUGCUGGUUAAAAAACAAUCAUUUUAUUUUCUUUCUUGCUCUCCCUUAGCAGCAGGAAAGGAUUCUAUCUAUCUACCUAGCGUUGGUAGAUUUCCCCCAAUGCAAUCCAUAGAAAUUACACGAAUCAAUUGGUGGAUAAGUCUGAUGACUCAGCAGAAGUGCGGAAUUAAGUUUCUUGUCUGGUAGAUCUGAUCUAUAGUUGGGGGCAAUACAUACCAAAAGGUUUGAAGAAGGAAUGCGCGUAAGAGUAUGUAACAAACCUACAAUUCUGUAUAACCUAUUCACGUUAGUGAAGCAGUUGGAUGCACAAGGGAAGUGCACGUUUGUGAGACCUUAGUCGUGACGCAUAGGUGAGUGAACCUACGAGCACGGAAGAGCAUGGUACCGCUACGCCUCUCUAUGUAAAGGUAAGAUUCAUAGCCCAGUAGAUGACUCCAUCUAAAAUACAAUAGGGACAGUCGUUUUCGGCUGCUCGUUUUGUAUCUUGAAGAAAGAGUAGGCUUAUGUAAUGUAAUGGGGGUUAGGUCAAUAAUAGCUAUGCUAUUGCCCUUCUUAUUUAACGCCUCAGCCCGAUCCCGAAUGCACAUUUUUUUGGGUUCAUCAUCAAUUGAUGUUUUCUUAACCUUUCAAAGACCUUCCAUAAAUUUUCGAUGUGGUCGGUUCUUUCUUUUGAAAAGACUACCAAAUCGUUCACGUAAGGCUCGCAUAUUUUACGUAGGAGGUCACUGAUAAUUUGUGUCAUCUCUCUUUGCUAUGUUGCACUUUUUUUUUGUGUUCUUCAAAAAUUCUGGAGGUUGAGUGUGCAUAAAAUACCAGUGCCAUUGAUUGUCCUUACACACUUCAUUGACCCUGAUCUUUUCUUGCCUGGAAUGAUCUGCUAAAAAAGCUGUGCAAUGGGCUCAACCCGCCUUUGGAUGAUGAGCCAGAGUGAGAACCGAAAAUAAGCUAAUGGACCUCCUACCCUCUGAACUUCCUAGAUUGAGCUGGUCCAAAGUGUUUCCGGCAAAGCAACGAAUGCGCGUCAAACCUUUCGGCCUCGUGUUAACCACAUAAAAGAGACGAUUCAUUCUAUUCCCUCGGUUAUAUUUGACUAUGACCCAGAGGAUAUCCCAAAGUGGGCAUCCGGGCUCAUCCCUCCAUUCACGGCCGCGCUUUCAAAUCGUGCUUUAUUGAGUGUUAACAAUCGGUUACAGCCAACAUUUGUUAACUAGUGAUAAAGAAGUAAAAUUUAUAUAUAUAUAAUGCCGUUUAAUGGCUGAUCUAGCAUGGAGGUGUUCAGAGGAACCAGAAUGUGGGACUACCCGAAGGCUAGGUCUUCAUUUUUGCAGCCCGUACCGUCUUUUGAUGGGCAGUUGAACCGUCUCUGCCGCAUCCUGUUACUGCCUUUGGAUUAGGCGAUUGCCCGUCCGUCUUCAGGCUGACAAUGCUCUCAAAGCCCUUACGAUCGCUAGCCAAGAGAGAAGCUCCGAGCUAACAAAGGUAGAAUAAGGAUGAAGGUAGGCAGGCGAGUAGAAGGAUAGCUAAAAGAUUGGUCUAGAUAUAUAUCAGCAGUAAAAAAAUGUAGACUUCACAUCCUUCGCGCAUGAGUUUUCUAAUUGGCUAUGAUACGAUCGCUAUCCAAGAGAGAAGCUCCGAGAUAACAAUGGUAGAAUAAGGAUGAAGGUAGGCACGCGAGUAGAAGGAUAGCUAAUAGAUUGGUCUAGAUAUAUAUCUGCAGUAAAAAAAUAUAGACUUCACAUGUUUCGCGCAUGAUUUUCUAAUUGGCUAUGGUCUCUCUUCUCAACUCCUCGGGAACUUCUGAUAGUAAUCUAAUCCACGGAAGUCUUAGAGGUUAGGAAGAUUCUUUAGAUUUUUUUGCAUUCCCGUACUGUUAUUUAGAAGCCGGAAACAAAACAAAAACUUGUUUUUGCCAUACUUUUCCGACCCCAAGGGUUAUUUGUUGUAGUUCGAUGAUCCUUUUUAUCUGCUUCGUGGCUAGAAGAGACCACUUCAUUUACUCUCUAACGUUCCUGAGAAUAGAUUCCAUGGUAAAUCUUAAAUAUACAAUAAUAGAAAGUAUAUAUCAUAUAAAAAGUAAGAAAAAGGGCAUUUUUUAUAAUUUCGUUUCGAAGCGGUAAACAUAGAAAGACUAUGUAUCAGUUCUAAGUCCCGUAGAAGAUCUUCCUAAUACCAUUGAAUUAGGUCCUAUGAAAACCUCUUUCUAUGAACUUCACCCAAACUCUUACAGUAGCAAUAGAAUUGGCUUCAGUUGAAUGAAAUUGCCUGGACGUCAUAAUGGAUUCUGACUCUUUCGGGGGCAAAGCGAGAAUCGGAUUCUUUCUUCUCCUCUGGGCUAAAUCCUCCUGGCUCUUCCUAAUCCCUUGGAAACAUACUCUAGAAUUAGCUAAUUUAUCAGCUAGAAUAAAUGCCUUAGAAUGGAAUCUUCUUCCUUACCAGGGCUUACUACUGUCUUUGCUGUCUUUCAGAAGAUUUAUUUCACUGUCGAAAUGAUGAUAGAAUCCAUUAGCAGCUAACAGAUCAAAUGGAUCUCACCUAGGCUGCUUCUCAUCCAACACCUGGUUAAUCCCUUACUUAUACAACUAUCGAGAUCCAUUAGCAGCUAACAGAUCAAAUGGAUCUCACCUAGGCUGCUUCUCAUCCAACACCUCCCUUACUUAUACAACUUAUACAGAUAAACGGGAGUUAAGCAUAAGAGAACAGCAACGAAGUAUGAAAGCCACUUAUGAGUGGCUAAGGCUGGCUUUACUUAGAUCCGUAACCCAACAUAAAUAACAUAGAAGAGAGCUGCUAUAAUCUUGACAGUUUAAUUACCAUGGGAAGAAGGGCUAGGAAGUUCGAAUAACUGCCUAUGCCCAGUAAUUCCAUUUCCAAUCACAUAGAAUCUUUUCCUAUGAUCUGCCUAGUCCUCGAUAGUGGGUUGAGUUCUGUCUAUUUCGGCUAUUGAUCUCGAAGGUAACUAAGACAGAUCCAAACCGCGACUCUCAACACAACUAGGAACCCUGGGCCUAAGGCCUAUAGAUUGAGAAGGAAGCAAGUAUGAAGAUUUUUUCCUGAUAUCAACAAUUUGCUUUUCUUCUUGAUCUCUUCCAAGGUAAGCCUUUAAGAGGGAGUCAAAUCGUGCUUAUGAGUCUUUGUUCAGACAACUAAUACACCUACAUAGCAUAGACUGACUUACAAGGAUAGAUUUAUAGAAAUGCCUAAUUAUACACUUCUAUUGGAUUGGGUUACAUGUCCAUCCUUGAUAUUCUUCCAUCUAGCUCCUAUCUCAGAUCCCGUCCAGUUCAUAGAGCAAUCGUAAGUCCAUAAGUCAUUAUAAGGUUUUAGUAGCUGCAUCGGGGAAUAGAUCAAUCAGAAGUAGGUUAAAGUAGUAAUGAGGAGAAAGAAUCGUCUUCUAAUUAGUUACUAGGGAAUCAAAGUCAGUGGUAUCUGAAUACACAAUAUUUAAAUACACAGCCUCAUGUUAAUAUAGGAUAGGACUUAUUCACAGUUUUUUAUAUUACGUAUAUAGAGAUUAAAAUCCUGAACUGGAUUACUAAUCUUAUGAGUAUAAUUUGUGCUACUAAGAUUUAGACUUCAAUUUGUCUAAUCAAUUCCUCAGUUUUCUAAGGAAACUCAUUCUAUUUAGUUGAUACCAUACGGGCCGGAAGAAUGGCCAGGUAACUCUACUAAAAAUACUUAGCCUAAGACUGGAGAAAACAACUAACAAUAUACCGUUCGUGCUUUAGAGGAUCCAGAUGAUAUAGAAGAAAGAGUUUGAUUGGGUGAAUCUUCUUAUACGUCCCGAGUUAAAUUGCAUUACUAAACCUGGGUAAGCCAUUCCUAGGCAAAUAUUUUCACCGGUUACAGAUCCUCUGUAUGUUAAGGAAGAAGCUAGUAUUGAGGAUUAAGUUGAGCAGUAAUCAUAUCUGUAUCCCUUUGAUUCCAUUCCAACGGAGAAAAAAAUACCGUAACUAAAAAGGAUGGAAAAAGCCUAGGAAUCUGAAAAUUUUUUUAUCUAUAUCAAUACUCAGGUCUUACAAGUACGGAAAGAGAUGGAGAGAACUCUAAGUCACUCAAAACAUCUAUUCGUUUUUUGGUGCCUCCUACCAUGGAAUCUCUUUCACCGCCUAUAAUGGAUACAACCAGGACUUAGAAUACACUAAUAAGGGGGUCUAACUCAGGCAGANNNNNNNNNNNNNNNNNNNNNNNNNNNNNNNNNNNNNNNNNNNNNNNNNNNNNNNNNNNNNNNNNNNNNNNNNNNNNNNNNNNNNNNNNNNNNNNNNNNNNNNNNNNNNNNNNNNNNGGCAAGUAAGCCAUAAGCUCACUAUCUAGCUUCUUAGGGCUUAACUACUUUAUCCGCUAGAGGAAGAUAAGCUGCUUUGGCCAAAAAAAUCUGACGGGCUAGCAAGUAAAGAAAGGAUACAAUAGGUAGUUAGGAAAGCUCCGCAAUUUCGAUAUCCCUUCCUCAUCCCGUAAGCCUGACUAAGGAAAUUAAGCGUAACUCCAAGCCUCGAAUAAGCCUCGGGCGAAACAUAAGACUAGAGCAUUACGAUCUAGAUUCCUAUAACUCUUUCUAAAUCCCGGGAAGAAUGUAUCCACUUGGUAGGCAUAAGUGGUGCAAAGUGGCGCAAAACAAAAGAUUUUAUAAUGUCAAAUUUUGUUUGUAUUCAGCCUUUGACCUAAUCUUUAUACUCGCCCCAUUUCUUGGACUCCUUACAGGUAUUCCACUCGUUGGUGUGGGUGCUUUACCUGAGUCUAUCUCUGAAGGUCUGGCUUCUAACUAUAACAACUAUCAAGUCGCCUUCGCUACUCUCCUUGGUGUGCGUGCUUUACCUGAGUCUAUCUCUGAGGGCCUGGCCUCAAUUCAGUGCCUAAUUUCUUCCGUAGCAUCCUCUAAUAGAGGACAGACUUCUGUCUUUAUUGGGCGUAAUGCUCCCCCUUCGUCAUAGGGCGUGCUUUCUCACCACCUAAUGACGAUCCAAUCACGAUCAUGGGGUUGCCCAGUUCUAAUUCCAUAUGAAGAAUAUAAUGGAAAUCAAGACCCCGGAGCUUCUUUAGUUCCAGAUGAUCCGAAUCCAAUCUCAUCUCUUGAGCUAUACCAAUAACUUAUGCAAAUUACUUAUUUUCCCGAGCUUAGUUAAUAAAUAAGGGGAGAUGGAGACCCUGAUUUGGACCAUCGUGAUCGAGCUUAUGAUUGUAAUGAACGUGGAGCUAUAGUCAAACGUUCCAAACCAGGUUGAGAGCUCCGAAGCUUAUCCACCUGAAGCACUCACUUCAACUACGCCCUGCAGUGGAAGCUGUAGCCGCAAGCUUCACUGUGGAGGAUGGCGGUCAGAUGGAGCUGAUUAGAUCCACAGCCGAGAUGGGGCCAUCCUUGGAGUCAAAGAGCUAUCACCCGCUAUAUCAUUGAUGCAGACGAGGCUUCCUCGCAUCAUACCGUUGUUUCUUUGAAAGAUGAUUCGACGUUGUGAUGCGAAGGCUGACCGGUUCUUCUUUAUCUACCAUGGUUUUCGAUAUCGUGGGUAGUCCACUCAUAUUGUAAGAUUAGUAUGGCUACCUUUGGGUCGAUCUUUGAGAGAUGUAUCUCCUACUACGGUGUUCAGUCUAUUUGUAGUGAAUUAACUACACCGUUUCAUCACCUACAAAAGACAUAUCUCCCGUGGAUCUCGGAGAUCCCUCCUUCUCGGGGUAUUUCCUGGGUCAAGUAUUCAACUCGUUUGCUAUCGGGAAUUUAGUAGAGUGGCCUUGAAAGAAGCAAGCCUACUCUUCUUCACGUGUAAUGCUUUCUUUACGGAUAUCUUUCUUUUCGUAAACCCCCAAGGGAUUUCAUCAGGGUAAAUUCCAAUCUAACUAUUAAAUAAAUAAUUACGACUAAUCGUAAGAGGAACUAUUCUAUAUGUAAUCUUCAGAAUAGAGCUCUGAUACCACCUAAUUAAAUAAAUAAAUACGGCUAAUCGUAAGAGUAACUAUUCUAUGUGUAAUCUUCAUAAUAGAGCUUUGAUACCACUCUAAUGAAAGCAAAAAUCCCGAGAAAAUGUAUCUAGAAGAGCUUGAGUAUUUAAAGUUACCUUUAGGGCUAGUUAGGUAAAACCUUAUAUAUGCAAUUAUCAGAUCGAUCUUUCAAGGACACGAUGGAACUUUUCUCCUUGACUUCAGAUUAGGAAUAUUUUCUUCCGAGAUUGGAACGACCUAUGUUGUAACGGAUGAGAGAAGGUGAGCAACUUCCUUUGGUCGCCUCUCCCGUCUGGUCGAGUAGCUCUCGCUCCUUCCUACUUACUUUAUUAUAAUAUAAGAUUAAGCUGCUACGUGGCCUAUUGGGAGCUUUUUAGUCAUAGUGGGAGCUUUCGGAGAUCACUUAGCAGGUCUUCGUCAUAGGAAGAGGGAAGAACAAGGGAGAAGAUCUUAUUUAAUCAAAGACAAUUCCAAAAGAAAGUCAAAACGGGGAAUAGAAUGCCUUAAAGGUAAAGACGAAUGAUCCUAAAUAAAAAAGAAAAUACCUACCUUUCUAAUGAGAUGUGAUCUAACUAGGGAUAGCUGAACUAAGCCUCAUCAGAGGAGAAAAGAUUUGCUGCUUUCACACUUCUUCUUCCUGCGACUCCCUUUCUUUCCCACCGCUCCGUGAGGGGCCUUUUCUUCUCACUUGAGAGAUGCGAUUUGAAAGAAGAGAAGAGGUUCUAUCAGUUAAUCAUCAUCCCUUCCUCAAACGAAUUAGUUCCCAUCUGGUAACUAUAACUUAAUUAUGAGGGAAUAAUGAUAAGCAAAAUAAUCCUCACCUCGAAAGUCGUUGCUGAUCUGAUCUUUUCUUUCCUAGGCGUGGAUGAGACAAAGUCUUCUUAGUCGUCCGCUUUUCGGUGAUAUAUAUAAGAAGGAAUACAUGUCUCAAGGUAAACAGGAGUUUCCUGCUCAAGCGAAAUGAUACCGGCGCAAGGUAAUUCCAUUCUUUAGUUUGUGGCAGAGGGUUUUAGAACACUCUCAGUUAUUAAGGUCACUGCUUAACAAAGUGAUCCUGAUAGCUGCUGACGUACUAAGGAGUUAUGUAUUGGAGCUUACCUGUUUGCUUUUAUGGUAAUGAGGACGGCCCAAUGUUCGGGGAUGUUGCAUUGCGCUUUCUAUUUAAAGCAGUGUGCACUCUCUCUUCAGAAGGCUUGUGGCGGAGAAUUUAACCAUUACUCACUUCGCGUACCAUCUUUCUGACACGCUCCUAGGGUAUCAUAAUCCCCUCUUUUCAUAAAAAAACUUAUAUACAUACAAGAGGGAUGAUUAUAGUGAUUGUGUUAGUUCAGAUAUAUCUUUCCUUCGGGACCUUGGGAAAGGUUGUUUGCCUUGCCAAGAAGGAUACGUUCUCUAGCAUUAUUCUGUGUUGUCUUUGAUGUCUGAUAUUAAGGAAGUCUAAUUCCAAACCAACUGCAGUACCUACGCUAUCCUUUAACACAUUACCCAUUCCAUAAAUAAGGGGCCUUUACAAGAAGUCCCUAGACUAGGGAGAUCAAUCAUCUCCUCGGGAAUAAGAGUAACUCCUGGGUUUCUUUUAUAAUAAAAAAAACAAAGAUCCCCUUCCAAUACGGGCUCAAAUGCCGACCUCUUCCGAGCCAAAGCUCAAAAGGAAGUUGGAGCUUGGUCCACAACGAUAAAAACGUUAGUAAUGAAAAAAUCUCCGAUGGUCGAGCCUGCAAAUGACACGGAACCCAGCACCACCUACCAAGGCCAAUGUACUCAACCUUUGGAAAGGGUCUUUAAUGUGAAUUGCGAACAACCCACAAGGGUGGUAUGAUUGAAACAUAGUUUGAAUAGGGGCACAAGUCUAGAGCUGUGGUAUGGAAAAUAGAUGAGAAAAAAAAACCUCAUCUCUUUACUUAGUCAGAGUCAUUGUUUUACUCUUUCUAUCUGCAUGACUGCUUUCUUAUGAUGAGUAGUGCCCAUCACUUGCCUCUCUGUGCCCUGUAUGAAGGAGCAUCCACUGCGCUUACUAGUGGGUAUAUAGAUGAGAAAAAAAACCUCAUCUCUUUACAGUGCAUCUCGGCAAAAUAGAACUGAGAACCAUAAGGUGAGCGCCGAAAUUCUAGCACAAACUGCUCCCACAGACACGCAUGAUAAGGGGGUGUGUGGACAACUAGGCCACCACUUUUACAAGAUAUGGGUCCGGACGACCCAAGAGGCUGCCACUAGAACCCAACCCUUAAGAGGCUGAGGUCCAAGGGGCUACCGCAGGAAGUCAGCUUCAUCUGUAACCUUAAGGAAUACAGAAAAUUACCCAGAAUUCCUACCAAGGACUUUGCCUGCUAUUCAAUCCUAAAUCCCUUUCACCCUUAACUAGCUAACUCGAUGGGACGUCAACAACGGGAAUGCCAAAUGCAAGACAUGGACCUGGUUCACACAGUCAAGCAGCAAAGACAUCUUUAUCUUCGGCACCUUUCGUAACGGCUAUAAAGAAUGGGUCUUUCCCCUUGUGAAAGUCUGUUGGGAUCGAUCCCUUCAACCGUGAUUGGCGUGGAAGGUCGCAAGAUCGGAUAUAGCUAGUUUUCCGAGAAAUCUAUUUUAGUAGAGCAUAUGAUGCCGAUGGCCUGAGGUACAUCACUCAAUAGGCUAGGGUGGCCUCAUUUUGCCUUACCAACCCCAGGGAAACUCCGAAUACAGGCCUAUAUCAUUUAUGCAGACAGACUUUUUGGGUGCUAAGAUGAAAAGUUCAGAGGGAAACAGCCCAGAUCGUACGCUAAGGUCCCUAGGCAAUCACUUAGCGGAAAAGGAAGUUAUCGAGCAAUGACAACCAGGAGGUGGGUUUGGAAGCAGCCAUUGUCUGAAUAAAGCGUAAUAGCUCACUGUUCUAGCUCCAUGGCACCGAAAAUUUAUCAGGGCUCAAGUGAUUCACCAAAGCGACGGGACCUUGAAAGCUGCUUUUUCAAGUGUCAGUAGCAGAAUGGUCUGUCAAUCGGGGAAGGUUUUUGGUGACAAGACCUGGAGAUAUCAGAUGUGAGAAUGCUAACAUGAGUAACGCAAAAUCCUGUGAAAAACACGAUCGCUUGCCAGUGGAAGGUUUUCUUUGUUCAGUCAAUCUACGCACAGUGAAUCGUUCCCUAACGAACCCUCGAAAGGGCUACCAUCCGAUGGGUAGACAAAAGUGACGAAGUUGCUUUGGCUACAGAACCAUGCCUGUCUCUUGGAGCAAAUUGGAUGAUUGGGCCGAGGGUUGCCCACUCUUCCCCUCACUCUCCUUUCCCUAAUAUGAACCUUGAUUCAUCAAAGCCUUUCUGAAAAUCUUGGCUCACCCAUACCGCGGUGUAUUGUUGUCAACUCACAUAGUCGCACCUACCAGCAACAAAACGACUACUCCCUAGUAAACGGUGCUAUUUAACACUUCGGUUCGCUCAAUACAAGAACUACAGUCCAACCUAGCUUAAGGAUAAAGCCGUGGAGUACACCCCCGUGAGAGCCCUCUUUUUGACUAACAUACUCCCUUUUGAUCUCCCCCAUACAUUCAUAUCAAAGCUGGGAAUGAUUGACUUUCGAAUUAAAAUAAUAGCGCAUAUUGGCAGUACUGCUUCCCAAUUCUUCUUUUAUGAUCUUAUCUACUUGAAAUGCUUACCCGUAAGUGUGGAAAAGGUACCCAGGGGACCAAACAAAAGGGCACUAAAAGUUGUUCAAUUAAAGCUUCGCCAGUACUUCAAAGACUAGAAGGAACUACUUGAUGAGUUUCAUUAUGAGUGAGUUUGUAGGUGCCUUUUAGUCGAGUGUAGCGAAGGGAUUCUCCUAAGAGAAGCUUUAGCCCUUGAACCUGAAAUGACUUUUAUGAGCUGUCUCAGUAGUGACCGACUUUAUUUUAUUAGCUGUAUGAUUAGUGGCUUAGCUGUUAGCUGUCUAAAAGCUACGGUAAAUAAAAUCCCUUUUGAAAAUAAACCACUAAUCCGCCUUGGUACUCUUUUAUGUCCUUGUAAGGCGGAGGGAAUGAAGCAACCUGUAGGAGGCUGAAAAGCCGUAGUGCACUUGCGCUGGCGAGUUAGCGCAACAACUUAGUGUCAUGUUUUCUUAGGUGCUUUUUUUUUACAUAAGGUCCGCAGGAAGCAGUUGCUAAAGCUUGUAGCUUGCCUCUGUCCUUAGUCAAUUUUGUAUUGAAGCUGUUAAGAGAAGAAGAAAUCGUUGUGUAGAAAGUCUUGCUUACUAUCUCCUCCGUCUAACUUAUGUAAGAAAAGAGCGAAAAGCUUACUUUUAGGUAGUGCCCUAAGAGCUAAGAAGCUCCAAUCAUGCUAUUCAGACAAUACACUUAACACAUGCAAGUCGAACCUUGGUUUUCGGAGUUUGAAAGAGAAGGGGAAGAAGCGGGGUAGAGGAAUUGGUCAGCUCAUCAGGCUCAUGACCUGAAGAUUGAAGGUUCGAAUCCUGUCUCCGCCUAAUCAGUGGAACAUUAUUCACCGGCAUAGAAGGCCGGUCCCAACCCGUCCACAAAAUGGGGCUACUGUUCAGUCUUGGUUGGUUCCACCUCUUUGCAGGCUGAUGACACCAGUAGCUAUUACGCAUAGAUGAUAAUUUCUUAGACUAUUGAAUUCCAACUUAGAGCUCCUCUCCAUACAGUCAAGUGGCUUUCACUACUUCUACUCUAAACUACUGUGUGCCUAUUUUGCGCUUUUCUCAGUCAAAGUCAAAGGUUUGUUGGUGGCAAGAUCGGCAUGCCUUCUAGUUGUAGUUGACUUUAAGCGCACCAAAACUACCCAUAGUCGUCUAUUUACGGGCUUGCACUCAGUAGUCAAUCAAUUCAUUUUUCCGCUUUCUAUUGCACGCUUCAACUAUUUCUUUUUGUAGUGUGUGAAUUAUAACUAAUGGAAAGUGCCUAUGAAUUAGUUCCAAGAAAGCGGCCGUUCACGUCAGGAAUAUAGGCCGUUAAGGAUGUACUUGCUUUUCCUUUUUUUUCGUCGAGAUAGGGUACAAGAUCGAAAAGAAUGCAUUGGUUGGAUGCCCGAGCAUUGAGAAGGAAGGACGCUUUCAGAGGCGAAAUAUGUACUUGCUUUUCCUUGUUUUCAUCGAGAUCGGGUUGGUGUUUAGUGUACCGCUUGUGAUGCCUAUGCUUCGCAAGCCUACAUAGGGUACAAGAUCAAAAAGAAUGCAUUGGAUGGAUGCCCGGGCAUUGGGAAGGAAGAACGAUUUUAGAGGCGAAAGCCCAUAGGAAGAUACCGUCUGUGAUCCAUGGAUCUCUGAUCGGGAAACCAAAUCCAAGCUCCGUGGCUAGUCUGCGCCCUUUGGACUUUUCAAACAUAGCGAACUGAAACAUCUUAGUAGAUAAAGGAAGGGAAAUCAACCAAGACCCUGUUAGUAGCGGCGAUCGAGAGCGGAUUGGGGGUUUGAAGAAAAACAAACAUGAAGCUUCGUUCCUCAGUAAAGUGUUCACUUCUUUUUCGCCAAGUUUCAUUCGAUUUGUUGUGGAUCGGAUGAUGGAAAAACCAGAAAGCUACGGCUUUAAAGCUUACCUUAUUUAUAAAAGGAGAAAGGGCUUUUUUAUAGAUGUUGAGGUUGAGUAAGGGGGGCGGAGCUUGAAGAGCAAAGCGAGCCGCGCUAGCCUAGCAAUGUUUUUCACUAGCAAGCUAUGGUCUAACGACCCCCUAAC